RNAcentral lists this ribosomal RNA (1097 nucleotides) under marine metagenome. RNAcentral's name for it is "bacterial SSU rRNA". It matches the Rfam family "Bacterial small subunit ribosomal RNA", at positions 8 to 1110 of the family's 1533-position model. The record is from RNAcentral.
AGAGUUUGAUUCUGGCUCAGAACGAACGCUGGCGGCGUGGAUAAGACAUGCAAGUUGAGCGAUGAACGGAUAAUAGCAAUAUUUGAUGGGAUUAGCAGCGAACGGGUGAGUAACACGUAGGAAUCUGCCCCAAAGCUCAGGAUAGCCUGGUGAAAGCCAGGGUAAUACGGAAUGUGAUCUUCGGAUUAAAGACUUCGGUCACUUUGGGAUGAGCCUGCGUUCCAUCAGCUUGUUGGUAGGGUAAAAGCCUACCAAGGCAAUGACGGAUAGCUGGUCUGAGAGGACGGUCAGCCACACUGGAACUGAGACACGGUCCAGACACCUACGGGUGGCAGCAGUCGAGAAUCAUUCACAAUGGGCGAAAGCCUGAUGGUGCGACGCCGCGUGGGGGAUGAAGGCCCUAGGGUCGUAAACCCCUGUCGGUUGCGAGUAAGGCCCUACUUACGUAGGGAUUGAUAUUAGCAACAAAGGAAGGGACGGCUAACUCCGUGCCAGCAGCCGCGGUAAUACGGAGGUCCCAAGCGUUGUUCGGAUUUACUGGGCGUAAAGCGUGCGUAGGCGGCGAGAUAAGUUUGGCGUGAAAUCCCCGGGCCUAACCCGGAAAAUGCGCUGAAAACUAUCUCACUAGAGGAUUGGAGGGGAGACUGGAAUUCCUGGUGUAGCAGUGAAAUGCGUAGAUAUCAGGAGGAACACCGGUGGCGAAGGCGAGUCUCUGGACAAUUCCUGACGCUGAGGUACGAAGGCCAGGGUAGCGAAAAGGAUUAGAUACCCUUGUAGUCCUGGCAGUAAACGGUGUGCACUUGCUGUAGGAGGAUUCGACCCCUUCUGUGGCGAAGCUAACGCGUUAAGUGCACCGCCUGGGGAGUACGGCCGCAAGGUUAAAACUCAAAGAAAUUGACGGGGGCCUGCACAAGCGGUGGAGCAUGUGGCUUAAUUCGAUGCAACGCGAAGAACCUUACCUGGGCUUGACAUGUAUGUCGUAGUCCCGUGAAAGCGGGACGUCAGCUCGGCUGGACAUAUACAGGUGCUGCAUGGCUGUCGUCAGCUCGUGUCGUGAGAUGUUGGGUUAAGUCCCGCAACGAGCGCAACCCUCACUU